CCCCCCUUGUGGCACACGCUCCACGAGCAAAAUACAAAAAAGUUUCCCGGGGUUCCCCCGGAGGCUGACAUCAUGGGUUAUUUUUCCAUAAACGCGAAUACCUCCCGUGAUUUUGACUUACAGAGACCUUCCCAGAAUUGAAUGGGGCCUCGGGAAAUUUUAACCCGGUGCUUUAUGCCGGUUAAAUCCAAUCUCUAAAGGUUUUAGGUUAAAAGCCCUUAUCGAGGCCAACCCUUAUCCUUGGUUGCUAACAGGUAAUCAUGAAAACUCCAGGGAGACUGCCGGUGACAAACCGGAGGAAGGUGGGGACGACGUCAGGUCAUCAUGGCCCUUACGGCCAGGGCUACACACGUGUUACAAUGGCGUAUACAGAGGGCUGCCAACUCGCGAGAGUGAGCCAAUCCCUUAAAGUGCGUCGUAGUCCGGAUCGCAGUCUGCAACUCGACUGCGUGAAGUCGGAAUCGCUAGUAAUCGCGAAUCAGAAUGUCGCGGUGAAUACGUUCCCGGGCCUUGUACACACCGCCCGUCACACCAUGGGAGUGGAUUGCACCAGAAGUGGUUAGUCUAACCUUCGGGAGGACGAUCACCACUAGUGUGGUUCAUGAAUAAGUGAAGUCGCAUCAAUGAGGCCAAGCCA
RNAcentral lists this ribosomal RNA (637 nucleotides) under Marinobacter sp. B-DPyG4. RNAcentral's name for it is "bacterial SSU rRNA". It matches the Rfam family "Bacterial small subunit ribosomal RNA", at positions 867 to 1507 of the family's 1533-position model. The record is from RNAcentral. Lineage: Bacteria; Pseudomonadati; Pseudomonadota; Gammaproteobacteria; Pseudomonadales; Marinobacteraceae.